This 259-nucleotide long non-coding RNA is filed under the name Gossypium barbadense (sea-island cotton). Its description in RNAcentral is "long non-coding RNA (GBAR_LNC004603)". The record is from RNAcentral. Lineage: Eukaryota; Viridiplantae; Streptophyta; Magnoliopsida; Malvales; Malvaceae.
GGGAAUAUGAGUCUAGUUUCAGGGAAAAUUUACGGAACUGGAUUCCGAGUUUCUGAACUCAAUAUAUGAUUUUUAAAGCGACUAUUACGCAGAUUGGCAGUGUCUGGAAAAUUUUUAAAGUUUGUUAACACCUCGUGUUCGACUCCGGUGACGGUCUCGGGUUCGGGGUGUUACGGGAAACAAGUGAUAAGUGAUAAGUGAUAGCUUCGGCUACACUUAUCUAAUCAAGGAAAAGCGAAAGUGAUAAGUGAUAGCUUCG